Molecule: ribosomal RNA, 552 nt
Filed under: uncultured bacterium
Lineage: Bacteria
Description: bacterial SSU rRNA
Rfam family: Bacterial small subunit ribosomal RNA
Source: RNAcentral
GGGAUUUGCGCAUGGGCGAANCCUGNCGCAGCAACGCCGCGUGGAGGAUGAAGGCCUUCGGGUCGUAAACUCCUGUCAGGGGGGACGAAAGCCUUAGCGGGUUUGACUGUACCCUCUGAGGAAGCCACGGCUAACUCCGUGCCAGCAGCCGCGGUAAUACGGAGGUGGCAAGCGUUGUUCGGAAUUACUGGGCGUAAAGGGCGCGUAGGCGGCAUGGCAAGUCAGAUGUGAAAGCCCCGGGCUUAACUCGGGAAUUGCAUCUGAAACUGCUUUGCUUGAGUCCUGGAGGGGAUAGUGGAAUUCCCAGUGUAGCGGUGAAAUGCGUAGAUAUUGGGAGGAACACCUGCGGCGAAGGCGGCUAUCUGGACAGUGACUGACGCUGAGGCGCGAAAGCUAGGGGAGCGAACGGGAUUAGAUACCCCGGUAGUCCUAGCCGUAAACGAUGGGCACUUGGUGUUGGGGGUAUUGAGUCCCUCGGUGCCGGAGUUAACACGUUAAGUGCCCCGCCUGGGGAGUACGGUCGCAAGACUGAAACUCAAAAGAAUUGACGGA